UCACCCCUCAAGCCCCGUGCUUGGUGUUGGACGGCCGGUUGAGCGAUCGACCCCUCCGAAAGACAAUGACGGCGGCCUGUGGUUCCCCCGGUACACUGAGCUUUUCAUCGAGCACGUAUCGGACAAGGGGCCCCCGGGACCCGGUCUUCUCCUCUCAGCAGGAAACUUCUCAA
RNAcentral lists this unclassified non-coding RNA (173 nucleotides) under uncultured Cladophialophora. RNAcentral's name for it is "sequence contains ITS2". Lineage: Eukaryota; Fungi; Ascomycota; Eurotiomycetes; Chaetothyriales; Herpotrichiellaceae. The record is from RNAcentral.